UACGGGGGGGAGCAAGCGUUGUUCGGAUUUACUGGGCGUAAAGGGCGCGUAGGCGGUCGUGACAAGUCACUUGUGAAAUCUCCGGGCUUAACUCGGAACGGUCAAGUGAUACUGUCGGACUAGAGUACAGAAGGGGCAACUGGAAUUCUCGGUGUAGCGGUGAAAUGCGUAGAUAUCGAGAGGAACACCGGUGGCGAAGGCGGCCUUCUGGACAGUGACUGACGCUGAGACGCGAAAGCGUGGGGAGCAAACAGG
This 255-nucleotide ribosomal RNA is filed under the name uncultured bacterium. Its description in RNAcentral is "partial 16S ribosomal RNA". It matches the Rfam family "Bacterial small subunit ribosomal RNA", at positions 524 to 776 of the family's 1533-position model. The record is from RNAcentral.